This 87-nucleotide transfer RNA is filed under the name Treponema sp. RNAcentral describes it as "tRNA-Ser". It matches the Rfam family "tRNA". Rfam says of the family: Transfer RNA (tRNA) molecules are approximately 80 nucleotides in length. Their secondary structure includes four short double-helical elements and three loops (D, anti-codon, and T loops). The record is from RNAcentral. Lineage: Bacteria; Pseudomonadati; Spirochaetota; Spirochaetia; Treponematales; Treponemataceae.
GGAGAGAUGCGAGAGCGGUUGAAUCGGGCGGUCUCGAAAACCGUUGAGCCCUCACGGGUUCCGGGGGUUCGAAUCCCCCUCUCUCCG